AAAGAUCCAAUAGAGGGAGGAAGACUUCCAAAGAGAUUGUUGUGUCCGAGAUUAAGAACUUCUAGUUGAUUGAAAUGCCACAGACAGUCUGGGAGUUGUCCGGUUAAUGAGUUAUGAGAGAGGUCAAGAAAUGAUAAGAACCCAUCAACAGCUUGGCAUAUGAAGGAGAUUCCUCCAGAGAAUUUGUUUCUGGAAAGAUUUAAUAUUGACAAAGUGGAAGGAUUCAGUAUCGGACCAUGAAAGCUGUUGGAACUCAAAUCUAUCACUGAAUCAUAGGCAAAAUUUGAUAAUAAAUCUGGUACUUUCCCACUAAUGUUGUUGGAAGAGAGAUUCAAAUAUAUUAAUUGAGAAGGCCAGCUGUCCCAAAACUCUAGAGGAAUUGUGUCUGAAAUUCCAGUAUUGGAAAGAUCAAGAACAGUAAGAUCUUUGAGUGUUUGAAUCCAUUUGGGGAAGCGAGGCCCUAGCAGCUUGCAAGAGCUCAGAUAAAGAUACUCAACAUAAGAGAUGUUUGACAAGUGAUAUGUGGAAGGAUCUGUAAGAUUAUUAGAAGAAAGGUAAAGAGUUUGGAGCCUGGGUAGUUCCCACAGUUUCUCACUUAUACUUCCAUUUAAGUGAUUAUGAGACAGGUCCAAAAAAUAUAGGGAUGAAAACUUUUGGAUGUCAUCGGACAGUGACCCUGUAAAUUGGCUUUUUGGAGCAUACAAGUCUUGUAAUGAAAGGGAUGUGCAUCCGGACAAGUUGUUGAGAAAAUCAGGAAAUUUGACAACAGCAGAGUUGUAAGAGAAGUCCAAAUCUUCCAGACUACAGAGGUUACCAAGAUAUUUGGGUAUCCCAUCUAACAUGUUGCCAGAGAGAUCAAGACGGACAAGGCUAUUGCUGGUUAAUGUGAACAACCAACGAUACAUAGAUGAGGUGAGAUUGUUUUUUCCAAGAGAAAGGUAUGCAAUAGAUGAAGAAGAAGAGUUGAGAAAAGAAGAAUAUGGAUACAUGACCUGUGACAGCUCACAUCCCUCUAAACUUAAUUCAAAUAGUUUUGGGAGACUUGAAAUUACAUCUACCCAAUGAUUUGCUGUUGCUAGGGAAAUCCCAUCCAUCCAAAGUUCCUCCAAAUGAGAGAGGUGAGACAACCACUCUACCUUUUCAACUCUACAGCUUCCAACAUUUCCAAGUCGAAGAACUUGCAAGUUGGUGAGGUUUCCAAACUCUGGUGGAAUGGUUCCAUAAAGAGAGUUAAAAGAAAGGUCAAGAAAGAUUAAUUCUGUCAAGGAACCAAUUGACCUGGGAAUGGUCCCAUUAAAAUCAUUCCAGCCAAGGUUAAGGUACCUUAAUCGAGUCAAAGAACCAAUGAAAGUGGGAAUGAUUCCAUUGAAAGCAUUGAAGGAAAGAUCAAGAUGAGUCAAGUAGGUUAAGUUAAGCAAUGAAGGGCUUAUCUCACCUCCAAGACCAUAGAAAUGCAUAUCAAGCCCUGUGACAUGACCUGUUUGUUUGCUGCACGUGACUCCUUUCCGGUUACAGCAGUCAUCUCCUUCAGCUGUCCAUUUGGAGAGAUGUUCAUAAGGGUCUUGAAGGGGAGCUUUGAAAAGAAGGAGAGCAUCUCUCUCCAUAUCCAAACACUUGUUAAUAUCAUUUCCUCCUGCUGCUACCAAUUGGCUGGUAGUUGUAGUCACAAGGAGUAGCAAGAGAAGUGAGGAAAUUAUAAAAACACAAGAAUUCAUAAUGUAAAUCAAAAUCUUAAUUGCUGAUUUUUGGUUUGUAUUGACACAUAUAUCAACUGCCCCCAUGAGGGUUUAUAUAGUCUCCACUGUCAAGAUGAAUGAUUAUAAGUGGGUCGCCAUAAAUUGUGUGGAAUUAAUUGCCCCAAAUUAAACUUCAAAGACUUGCAAGUCUUGGCAAUUUGUCUUUAUUAUAGUAGAUAUCUUUCCCCAUCUUCUGAUAUGAUAUUGUUUGGUAUAUGAUAUAAAUCCCAAAAUGCAAAACUAAUGAAAUCUUUCAGUCAAAUACAAAUCUACCAAUCAAAACAGUAAUGAUAUUAUUUGGGCCUAACAAUCUGAUCAUGGCUAUGAAAUGAAGUUUUGUCACUUGCAUCAACUAAAUCGUGAACUUAUAUGAAUGAAACCAAGUUUAUACAUUACCGAUUAAUCAUGGUCUUUUCAAUUGUUAAAAUGAUAUUUAAGAUAACACUACAUUAGUAAUGACUCCACUAAAAACGCAUUAGAUUAUAAUUAAUACAAUUUUGCAACGUUUUUUUGUCCAUAUUCCAAAUAAAAUGACCAUAAUUAAUAUCAGCUAUACUCGAUCAGGGAUCAAAUAUAGUCAUUUUAACUGAAACAUGGACCAAAACGUUUCAAGAACCUCAUAUAAGGACCAAAACUGAAAUUUUCAGCUAUAUUCAGGGACCAAAAACGUUUUAUUUUAAUUGAAAAUAAACAUAAGAUGCACAUACAGAAGCAGUUUUAUUUUGCAGCAAUUCUUACCUUCUGUUUACCUAAAUUAAACUCCUAUCAAUCAAAAAUCACAUAUUAAAGACUCCAAUUCUACCACUGUGUUUUCUGAUCAACAAUUUGUAGCUUCUGAAGCUCCACUCCAUUCACCUUUAGCACUUUGCACUACUCAUUUAGAAAAUUUAAGAAAAUCAUGUUAUUAAUAUUAAUCAGAAAGACAAAAUAUUGAUGUAUUAAUUAUUAUAGUAUCCUACUUUCAUAGUUUGCUACCUCUUGAUGUAAUACAAGGGGUAUAUUGGUCAUUUAAAGACAUCCAGGAUAAUACUUUUUCCAAAAAAAAGAAGGCGUUAAACCGGAUACAAAUAAUUAUUAAUAAUAAUUUGCUUCGUAUGUAUAUUAAUUUUAAAAAUACAUGAAAGUAUACUCAAUAUAACUUUCAUUUUACUCUCUAUGAUACCUGUUAUUAUAACACAUUAAAUAAUUAGUAAUUAGCCUACCCAUCAACUAAACUACAUAGCUUCUCCAGUUUAUAAUUUCCUAACAAAGUUCCAAACUUGUUUGAAAAGCUAAAUCUGGUUGUUCUUUGUUGGUCUUAAGAAUGAUCUAUAGCGCCAUACUUUCAUUUUUUUGUUGAAAAAUAUGACACACCAAAAAACUAUCAGGAGAUGAGAAAAAGAUAUAGAUAAUAAAUACAAACUGAAAAAUAUGACAAGGUGGGAAAAGAUAUAUCUAUAAUAAAGACAAACUGCCAAGACUUGUAAGUUUUUGAACGUCUAACUUGGGGCAAUUAAUUCUAAUUCUUCAUCUUUGAUUUUUCUUAUAGUUUUGUUCAAAUUUCAUGGAAAUUAAGUAUUGAUGGAAAUACUAUAUGCCCCACACAAGUGGCCACUCAUUUGAGGCUACCUACUCAGGAGUUAGGAUCAUUUAUCUUGACAGUCAAGAUUAUAUAAACCCUCAUGGGCCCAAGAGCAAGUUUGGGCCUUCUAACAGAAACCAGGAAUUACCUUUUGUAGAGCCCAUUGUUAACAAUUCUGAUCACAUUACUUUUGAGUCUUUGAAAAUAUCACAAGUUUGGAAAUGAUUUUGAUGAUAAAUACAAAUUCCCAAGACUUGCAAGUCUUUGAACAUAUAAUUUGUGGCAAUUUAUUAUAAUUCUUCAUCUUUAAUUUGUCUUUUAGUUCAAAUGGUAUUUAUAAACUUUUAUUCUCAACCAUUUCUUUCUGAAAAACUUGUUCAUCAGUAGUCAUCCAGGGGCCAUGUGCUGCAAAUACAAGAAACAACUUGGUAAUAGAAACUAUAAACCCAGGAGUAAAUUACACUUUCAAUUUCCAUUUUUUUUGGAAAGGAGGGAGGGUUAAAUGGUAAUUUUCUUUGUGUUUUUAUAUGCUACGAAUAUAUGAAUUUUCCAGGAUAUCUUAUUUCAUGCAAAACAGGGAUAAGGGCCACCCAUGGUGUUGGUGGCAAAUAUAUAGAUAUGGGAGACUUAAAACCCCCAGCCAAAUUACAUAUUGCAAAAUGUAAAACUAAUGAAAUCAUUCAAUGAAAUAGUAAUUAUAUCAUUUGGGUCUAACAAUUAAUGACUGUGAAAUGAACUUUUCUCACUUAGAUUAACCAAACAGUGAACUUAUAAGAAUGAAAGCCGGUUUAUCCAUUCCAGAUUAAUCAUGGUCUUUUCGAUUGUUAAAAAUGAUAUUAGGAUAAUACUACAUUAGUAAUGACUCGAUUAAAAACAUAUUAGACUAUACUGAAUACAACUUUUUGCAACUUAUUUGUACCUGUUGCAAAUAAAUUGACUAUAAUUGAAAUCAGAUAUACUCGGGACCAAAAAUUUAGUUGAAACAUGUACAACAACAUUACAAGAACCUCAAAUAAGUUCGAAAACUGAAAUUUUCAGCUAUACUCAGGGACCAAAACUGUCUUAUUUUACUCAACACUUACCUUCUGUUUACCUAAAUCAAAAACCAUAUAUUAAAGUCAGGAUUCUUUUACUUCAUUUGCUUGAAAAUUUUUAAUACAACUAACCUCCAUUAUACAGCUACUUCGUAUCUUCUGAAAUCUGAAGCUUCACCUCUAUCACUCUAACACUAUCAUUUAUAAAAUUUAGAAAAACCAUGUUAAUAAAUAUAUUAAUCUGAAAGACAAGAUGUUCAAUAAUAAAAACAGGUGUAACUGACUUUAAACCAUCUUAUUUGAUAUUAGUAUUAUAAGUUGGAAUUUUUAUUAAAAUAAUCAACUUAGUAGUUUAUGUCUUAGUUGUAGAUAAAGAAUGCUACUUUAACAGCUAAAUCUGGUUGUUCUUUGCAGGUAAAAUCCUCAAAUUGUAUUUGAAUGACAUUGUUAUAAUUUAUAAAUAGGUAGAUUUUUCAAAAUACAUUGCUUUAAUAGAGUAUACAUGAAAUUAUGAAAAUACAUUGCUAUAAUAAACAUAUUAAUGAAAGUAUGUUGCUGUUUCUUACAGUGAACCCUUUUGCAUUUGACCAAAUUAAUUAUCAUUGAAUUCAAAAUAAAUUUGUUUUCAUCCGAAUCGGUCAAACAAGUUAAUCCCUGGCGAUUUUAGCAUCAACCAUUUCUAUUGAAACUAUCUUUGAAACAUAUCAUCAACAAGUCUAAUUCAACAAUAACCAAAUAAUAUUAUCACUACAAAUAAAAUGACAUAUAGUGGCACACAUUUUUAGUGGCAUAUGGUUAAUGUGCCACUAUAUCAUGGUUUUUAGUGGCACAUAUUAUAUGCCACUAAAAAAUCAACACAUUUAAUGGCACUUAAUCUUUUGUGUCACUAAAUUUCAUAGUUAUUAGUGGCAUAAUGACUUGAUAUGCCACUAAAACUUUUUUUUUGAAGGCUUUUUUUUUUAAUACGGUAUAAAUAAUUCUUAUAAUAACUAAAAAAUGUAAUUACAAUAUUAACAAUUUAUUUUAUAUUUCUCAUUUAAAUACGGUAUUACAUAUUUAUGAAAACUUAUUAUGUUAAUAAUUUUAAAUUUUGAUUUUCUUGGUUUAUUAUUUUGAAAACGAAAACUAAUUUUUAUUUGGGAUUAAUUUAUAAUAUUUCCAUUAAUUUAUCUAUUUUCUUGUUUAAAAAAAGUUUCUAACCUAACAAUUUGGGUUAGAUAACAUUAUCAUCACAUUACCUUAUUUGGAGAGGAGAUACGAAAGUCAAAAAAAUACAGGUACAACAACCAAAUCCCACUCUCCCACUCCUGACGAUGAUCUAAACGCAAUAUCACCGCCCUCUCUUCGUCGACGUCGUACCAUCACGGUGACGUUGGUCUGUGGGUCGCUGCUUCCACGAUCAUCGUUGUUUUCACGAUCGUCGCCGCUUCCUUGAUAGCCACCACUUCCUCGAUCGUCGCCGCCGCUUCCUCAAUCGCCGCCACUUCCUCGAUCGUUGUCGCUUCCUCGAUUGGCGCCACUUCCUCGAUCGUCGCCGCAGCAUCCUCAAACUCACUGUUAGGUAUUUUUGCUGCUCAAAUAAGCGUAUUUACAAUUUUCAUUUUUUGGUAAAUUUGUAGUUGUAUACUGCCCCGAUUUGUUGCAAAAUCAUUGCCCAAACUGCUAGGGUUUAUCAAUUUUAUGAGAGACUGCCAUUAGUACCUUUAAAAGUCCAAUAGUUUUCGAUUAUUAGAACUUGUGAUUGCAUUUUGACUUUCUCAGGUCAUAAAAUAUAUAAACUAUAAUCCAUGUACUCCAUAAAAGCAUAUCUCUUAACAUCUGCUAAUAUCCCAACGCCAAUUGACUUCUGUAGAGAUGGUUAUAGUUAAACUUCAACUAACUUCAAGAAUGAGUAAAGGUUGUGCUCAAAUAAUUCAAGUUUAUUGGUGUACUUGUCCAUCGACUGAGCAUAACAACAUCAAACCCUUUCUUCAGAUCAAUCUCCUCUUCCCAGUGACUACCCUUCAUUUCAAUCCUCUUCUCUUCAAGAGCUUUCAUCAGCCUCUCCCUCUCUUCCUCAAAUUCCUUCAUUGCCUCAAGCUUCUGAUCAUACCUAUGAGUUCAUGCAUAUUAUAACAUUACAUACUCUUUCUUUUUCUACUUUGAUAAAACAACCCAAGCAAAGAAACAAAAAUACAUAAGUAUGUUGAUACCUCUUAUGAGGAUCAACCACAAAAUAAGAUUGCUCAACUUUCAUGUGCUCUUCCUUUUAGAGUUUGUCAAACUUUCCUUCUUUUAAUGUUUAAGAAUGUCACCUUUAAGAAUGUCACCUAGAAAUAACUAGACAUGUAGGACACCUUUCUAACAUAUGUACAUCAAAAUCGUAUUCUUGUGGGUGGAGCCCAGUCAAAAACCGGUCAAUGAUAUAACCGCCUGCCCGAGUGGUGAAAUCCCAAGGUGAAAAGCUAAAGUGUUCCCGGAAACCAUUCGGGGCACCCAUUUCCCUUCCAACUCUUGUUGACCGAGUAAAAAUGAUAUUUGUUGGAAAUUUACCAGACGACCCUUGGCACCACUGAUGGUCAUUAGAGAAAUGCAGUUUUGUGGGAAGGGUUUCAUCACUCCUUUUGGUAACCAUUUUUUGCUGAUCAUUGAACCUUUAUCUCUUAGCUUUGUUUGUAUGAGGUUAUAUAAACUUGCAGAUGUUGUUGCUCCAUUGCUUCUUAUAAUUUUCUUAGUUUCCAAUUGCAACUCUCUUGUCCCUAUAAGUUCACAAAUUAACAAAUGCAAAGACCCUAAUGAUUUAUAAAAAUUUGUCCAAGUAUAUAUCUAUUUUUUGAUUUUCCAAGUUGACAAAUUUUAUGUGAACCUUUUCACCUACAUCUUCACCUUCAAGUUCCAUCUUCAUUUCUUUGUCACAAUCUGGUGACACCAUUAGAUCAUCUAAACCACAUGUAAAUCCAUGGAACUGUAGAAUGAUUAUUACUUGUUAUUUGAGACAUGGAUUGGGUAAAGAUUUGAAUGAGCCUCCGUCCAUUUGGCUAUGAAAUGAUUUGGAGCAUACAAUAGACAAUGUUUUUCUUGUGUUUCUUCUUGUUCAUUAAAUAAUCAUUCGUUUUAUGUUGAUGCUUAUACUUUUUGAAAGGUAUCAUCAAAUUUAGUAGAUACCAUUAUCAUGAUUCAUGCACAUAUACUCUUUUCAGAAGUUAGAAUUUUGUAUCAAGUAAAAUCACCAUCAUAGAAACCUGCCUGAUGAUCAUAAUAACAAAAAUAAUUUGUCAAAAUAGAAAUUAUGAUGUUGGUAGUGGUGAUUGGUGAGGAGCUAGAACUUUUAGAAAUUUAUUUUUGAAAGUAUUAUGGAUAAAAAAUAACAAUAUCUUUUUAUGAAAUUGCUAUUAUAAUAUUUUAUUUUAUUUCUAUUAUAAAACUUUAAAAAGUUCUAUCUAGUAUUGUCAUAAAAAAUGUAUUUGCCUAAAUAUAAUGCUAAUAAAAAUAUUGAAAUAAUAAUAAUAAUUAUAUAAUAUAACUACGAUGACUAACACUUUGAGUGGUAUAUAAAUUUAAAUCCAUGUUAAGUUACGUAGAUUUGACAAUAAUAAUAGUAUUAAAUAUGAAGAAAAUUAUGAAUAAUACUUUUAAGAAAUUGAAAACAUAAUUAAUUUGAUAUGUAAUCAUUUUUGACGGAUUAAAUUCAACGAAUAUUUAGAAUAGUAAAUCCAAUGACUAAUGACCUAUAUAAUGUAAAAAUGGAAAUUUUAAUUUAAAAAUGAUUAGAAAUGAAUGUUAUUUUAAAAAAAUGUUUACUAAAUAUUUUACAUAUAAUGGAGUGUUAUUUUAAAUAAAUCUUCAUCUACACUCAUAUAUGUGGGUCCAAACCGGUGUACUAUUAUUUGGGACCCAAAAAACUAUAACAAUAUAUAAUAAAUAAAAUAGUUAUAUAACAAUCCAUUAAAAAGUCUACUCAAUUUGUAAUACUUCUCCAUAAGGUUACCGGUUAACUUCAAGGCUUUAAAGAGUAGACUACCUGUUUUGUGUAUCUUUUUAAUAAAAAGGGUUUAUUUAGGGCAAUUAGGUCUUUUUCCCCAGUUAUGUCAGUGCAUAGCUGUAAUAACUUGCAGGUAGCAUGUCAUAGUUCACUUCAGUGAGUAAAUUCACUUUUGGGAUGUCAAGAUGACAUUUGUAUUGCUUUGAUUUUAGCACCAAUCAUUCAACCAUAGUUCUACAAUUCUACAAUUAAGUCCUACAGUAUACCAUAUAUGUUACAACUUAAAGAAAGAAACAUAAUUACUAUUCUCACUUUACAGGUGAAGAUGAUGAUGAGGAUCUAUCAGAAAAUUUUAUCGUGAAGACAUGCCAAAAGAUUAUUCCUGUAACAUGUAAAAUUUCUUUUCAAUUGUCAGAAAUUAUAAUUUUUUGAUUUGGAAAGAUGCUAACUUUCUGCAUUGUUCUUCAAGGGUAAAUCUGGUAUUGAUUUCAUUCAUUCUUUUUCUUGGUUUGGCAGCUCAAUAUGAUGGCAAUAGGUUUUUUACAGUUGUGAAUGGAGCUUGGAAAGUAAGUGAAAAGAUAUGGUUAUUUUUUUUGUUUGUUAAUAUGAUUAAAAACAUGUGCAAUUUUUUUAAAUGGGAAUCUUUUCUUGAUUCUUUUUUUUUACUCAAAAAGUGUCAUCUUGAAUUGUUGGUUUCUAAAAGGCAUCAAACAUUCUGGACAGGCUACACCUUUGCUUCUACCUGUACCAGUAAUUGAACUCAGUGACAUUGCAUUUGCUGUAAGUUUAUUCAUUUAACAUAUUUUUAUAAUAUUUUAAAACUUCUGUUCACGAAUUUUAUGUAAUUUUUUUUUCUAGGUUGACUUUAUACCUGCAGUUUUUGGUGUGACAAGAGAUCCCUUCAUUGUUUUUUUCAUCUAAUCUCUUUGCCAUUUUAGAUAAAGUAUGAUGCCACAGUUGACUUUUAUCUAAUUGGUCAAACACAAAAAAAAUUAGGCUGAAUUUUUGCUUCUGAUGUAGGUCUACGAUCUCUAUAUACACUGAUUUCAGAAGACAGAAAGCAUGGCAGAAUUGGAGUAUCUACAGGUUAGUUUUUUUUUUUUAAGUUUUCAUGUUAAAUGACCUAUUUGCCCAUAUCCAUUGUUAUGAAUGAAUUGAUAGUAUAUAUCUACUUGGGAAUCAUGCUUUGAAUUUUGAAAGGUUUAUCCAUGUUUGAGAUUACAAAUAGGUUGAUGUUAGGUCAACAUUUUCUUCUAUAUCUAUGUGUUUGAUUGGGUGCAAAAUGAUCCUAGAUUUCUUUGGUAAGUGUCUUAUUGAUUAGGUCACUCAUAACCAAAGAUAAUUCAUUAUGAUAAUAAGGAUGAGGGAAAAUACGUCUUUUGGUAACUACCUGAAAUGUUAAUCAUAUCCAAUAAAUCAUAUAAAUCAUAGCAUCAUACUUUCAUUUUAGUGCUCUAAUAUGAUGAAAUAUGAAAGUAGAGUGCUAUAAUAAACAAAUCAGUGAAAGUACGUUGCUAUACUCGCAUAGAUUUCUAAAACUAAAAUGUUAUAGUAUUAUGAAAUAUGAAAGAAAAUAUGAAUUGUUUUAAUUUUAAUUUUGAUUAAAAUAACUCCAACUGGGGUAAUUGUUAUAAAAAUGGUCCAUGUUGCAGGAAUAUAUUACAAAAAUGGUCUUUGUGGCAGGGAAUUGUUACAAAAAUAGUCCUUAUUACAGGAAAGCAUGACAAAAAUGGUCCUGUAAGAAGCUGUUAAAAUUGUCCUUGUAGCAGGGAUAUAUUACAAAAAUGGUCCUUUUGACACGUAACUGUUACAAUGGUAAGUACUUUCAACUAGGAUAACCAUUUGAUCUAUGGUUCUUUUUAUGUGUGGUGAUUAUUAGUGAUAUUAUUACAUAUUUUUAUGUGAUUAUUAGUGAUAUUCUUAUAUAAUUUUAUAUGAUUUAUUAUGAUUAUAUUACAGGCAAUUAUUCAAAAUGGAUAAACACAAGAUGGAUAAACAAGAGGAGCAACUAUGCAAAUUUCAUCUUCAUGUCAACUUUUGUGUUUCUUUCCAACAAGUAUUAAGUUUGAUAGUUUAAUAUUUUUAGUAAUUACUAGCACAAUGUUUAGACUUAUUAUAGGUUUUUGGAAUAUAUUUUUGUAUUAAAUAUUGAGAAUAUUACACUCAGACAAGUUAAGUAUUAAUUUGAGUAAUGCUUUUGUGUUUUGCAUUUAUUAUCUUAAUUGUUUUUUAUUAUUUUAUAUUCCAUUUAAAUUUAUAAAAAAUAAAUUGGAUCUAAUUUUGAAAUAUAAAUGUUUUGUUGUAAAAAAAAAGUGCCGCUAAAACAUACAAAUUGUUUUUAUUUUAGUGGCAUAAGAAUAGUGUCACAAAAACUAAAAGUGCUAUAGUGGCACAAAAAAAAAGUGUCACUAAAACCUAAAAGGGCUACAGCGACACAACAAAAAAGUGUCACUAAAAGCCUUUAGUGGGAGCGUUUGUAGUGACAUUUUUUUUUUGUGUCGCUGAUUGCCAAGGGGGUUUUUAGUGGCAUUUUUUUGGUUUUCAAUGGCACUUUUUUUGUGCCACUAAACAUCGUUUUAUUUGUAGUGUAUGUUGCCCCUACUUGUUUGCCAUGGUCAAUUUAACCAACUUGUGCAGUUAGAUCAGAUUGUUCAUUGGUGGUUUUGAUAUGGAGAGUGUUAUAAUAAUAUACACAAACACAAGCUUCACAUUUUGGGCACAAUCAACCAACAGACCAGAUAUUCAUAAGGAGACCGAGAUUAAGGUAGAGUGAUUAUAAGUAGCAGGAAAAAACGUGCAAAUAAAGAAUAAACUGAUCACCUCAGCACUUGUUCACUAAGACCAGUAAAUGCUCCAAUUUUACAUUAUACAUUUGUUUAUUCCUACUACAACAAUUUACUUUGAAAAGUCUAAACAAAAUGCAUAACAAUUUUUACUGUUAUAACUGGAUUUGGGUAGAUUUUUUUGUCAUUCUUCACUUGGUCCGAAUUUUGUUGAUUCAACAUCACAUGCCUCAAAGCCUCCAAUUGAGCAAGAAUUGUGAUUCCUGAAGUAGUUGAGGUGUUGUUUCUUUUUGACUUAAUAGAUUUAAGUUGACUUGGAGGGUACUACGCCAAAUUUCUUCUAAGGUUUUGAGAGAAUAUGAAAGCUAUAGGCAAAUGCAUUUUCAUAUAUGUUUGUUAGGAAGAAACUUGACAUAUAUCACACAUACAUAUUAGUAACAAUAGUAAGUAAUUCAUCAUUACUAUCAUGAAUGAUCAGGAUUUGAUAAUUAAAGCCAGUGAUAGGUAGGAAGCUUUAUUUUUAUCACAAUCAUCCAAAUCCAAAUCUGCCUAACUAUAUCCUAAAUAGCAAGAAAAUUACUAAACGCGUAGUAUCAAAUACUAUCAGCAAUCAAUAACAUUAAUCUGGUCAAAAGAAGCAACUUAUAGUAAAUGUGACAAUAGCUGAGGAAAGAGCAAAAAAAAAAAAAAAAUCAUAAUUUGCCAUAACCUCAGAUAACCCCAUAAACAUAUUUCUGAUUCCAAAUAUAAUCCUCCAAAGAAAAAUACACACGGAAACCCCACCAGCACCAUAGAUGACACGUUUUUUCUCCUCCAACAUGCCUCCAUUUACAAUCCAAUAAGUUGCUUAUCCUUUUUUUUUUUUUUUUUUUAGUUUUACUCUUCAACAAAUUUACAUCUGAUCUUUCCUUUUAAAAAUAUUACAUAUGGUCACUCGAAUCAUCUCUCUUAUAGAGCAGAAAGAUCACUGACUAUUAAAUCAGAAAAACGAAAUUCGGAAACGGUUUCACUAAGGCAUACCAUCAAACAGUUGGUGUGCAGUAGAGAUCAACACAAAAUGGAGGUCUAAAUUAGUAGAAAAAUCAUCAAACCUGUUGUCCUGUUCAGACUCAAAUAGAGAAAUUGAAAACACCAAAAAAAUAAUAAAAAUGAGAGAAAGAAACAUACCUAAUCAACGUUGGACUCUACAGACCUCACAGAAUGCACAGUGGUAUAAUUACUUGGCUUUGCAAACGCUUAGUUGAAGCUGACAAAAGAAAUUUGAGAUGGAGAUAACAACUCUGCUGUGUGACCUUAUCGAUUCAUGGAAACAAAAGAAAUCUGAUUAGGUGAUAACAAAUGCACAUAAAUUGUAGCGACACAAUGAGGACAGUAUCCCAACAAUAGUAAUAAACUUUUAGGGGAAAAGCAACGAGCUUCACCAGCUCCAAAACAGAGGACACUGAAAAAUAGUAUCAAAUCUUGUAUGGGAAGCAGAGUUCAUAAUAAAUAAAUUAAUGAUGUUAUAAGAACACAGAACAAUGUACAAUAACGCAUGCUUAAUCUACAACAUAAAUUAAAAUAUACCAAUUGCAAUUCUGGCUCUGCGAACAGUAUUUAUUAGAGUAUAAAUGGGUACUUAUAAUUUUCGUCUUCAUCUUCGUCCUUCUUAAUUCAAGCUAUCCUGGAGGUUUGGCAUCAUAUAUCAUGACAGCUAGAGAACUCUUAGCAGAUUCAAAGGCUGGAAACAAUCCAUUUCAUGGCUUCAGUACACCUUCUGUCUGUCACUAAACUAUCUUUUUAGGCCAAAAUUAAGUUUACCUUUUUUUUUUUUUUUUUUUUUUUUUUAAUGAUUUCAACCACAUUUCUGCUGGCCCCAUCAGGCGAAGUUCUAACAUUUGGCGAUGAUAAAUUUAUCAAAUAUGGCAGGUGUUAACCAAAUACAACAUGCUGCAUUUGUUCUUGUUGCAGGAGGGCUUGGGGAACGCCUUGGAUACAAUGGAAUCAAGGUUAGUUCUGUCUUUUAAUCCUGUGAAUUGUGAUAACUGUUCUGUUAGUUUAACACCACUCGAUAAAACUUCAUGUAUAUUGUAGGUAGCACUCACCAUGGAAACCACUACAGGAACUUGUUUCUUGCAACACUACAUAGACUCCAUCUUAUGCUUAUCUAAAGCUAGUUGUACACAAACUAAAGGUACUUUUUGUUUCCCCAUGAACAUGUUAUCUUUAUUCUUGUAGGCACAAUAUAAACUUAAAAUCAAUAUAUUAAAAAACUGGUAAAUUGUCCAAUUGUAGGUGAAUGUAGAAGAGAAGCACCUUUUGUGAUAAUGACUUGAGAUGACACAUAUACAAAAACAUUACAACUCCUAGAAUCAAAUUCUUAUUUUGGGAUGAAAUCUACGUACACAAGUAAAACUUUUAAAACAGGUAAUUGCAUCACAUUUGGGUAUUCUUUUUGCUACAGUAGAAGGGCAUAAAUGGCAUUGUAAAUUCAUGGUACCAUGUUUCAGGAAAAGGUAGAUUGCUUGGCUGAUAAUGAUGCUAGGCUUGCUGUUAAUCCACACAAUAAAUACAGAAUACAGGUGCAGUUUGUAAUGCAUAUAUAUGUAUUUGUAAUCUUCCAAAUUAUAAACCCUUUGUUUCUCUUAUCAGAAAAAACCUCAUGGUCAUGGUGAUGUUCAUUCAUUUCUUUAUUCAAGUGGUCUUCUUAAAGAAUGGUAUGUAUGCAUUUUUUUAUUUGAUUGGUUUUUGUUUUUAUUAAAAUAUCUAUCUCAUUAUACUUUAUGGAACCAUCUCUUUUAGGAAAGAUUCUGGUUUAAUUAAGAGGGGUUGUGUUUUUUCAAGACACGAAUGGACUCCUAUUUAAGGUUCAUUUCAAAGAUUGCCUUAAUAGUAUUAUCAUAUAGAGUUUGAUAUACAAAAUUAUUUUAUUUAUUUAUUUAUUCAGGCAAUUCCUGCAGCAUUGGGAGUAAGUGCAACUAAAGAGUAGCAUGUUAAUUCUCUUUCUGUUCCUCAAAAAACCAAAGAAGCAAUUUGAGGCAUUACAAGGCUUACUCAUUCAGAUGCUAAGUUUUGUUGAAUUAUCUUGUUACUGAGUCAUGGUUUUUAAAUUAUUUUUAUAUUGACAAAAAUACGCUCAGGAAUAGAAAUGGUGAUUAAUGUGGAAUACAAUGAAUUGGAUACUCUUCUUAGAGCAACAAGUCAUCCUGAUGGAGAUGUCAAUUGUGACACUGGCUUUUCUCCAUACCCAGGCAACAUAAACCGAGUAUAAUAUAUAUCACUUUAUAUUUUAUUAUUAGAGUGAUUUUCCUGAUGUUAAGUUUUGAUUUUUUAUAAUUACAUUUUAUUGUAGUUAAUUCUUGAGGUUGGGCCUUACAUGGAUGAACUCUCAAAAACUGGUGGUAGCAAUAAAGGAGUGUGUUAACCCCAAGUAACUUCUCUCAUACCUCAUGCAUUCUUUCUGUUUCCUAAAAGUGUAUUUAAAUGCUAACAACCUUAUAAAUCACUCUAUUUAAAAACCUAAGACUAUUAAGAGUUUCUAUUAAAGGAAACUGCCAAAAUGGUCCCUAGUGUUCGAAAAUUUUCUUUGGUUCAAGUCCAACAAAGAUUUUUUUGUUUAACUUUUGGUCCCUAUGUCAAGGUUUCAUUACUUGGUCCCUGUAUCAUUAAAUGUAACUAGACAGCUAUUUGGUUUUUCAAAAAGACCAUUUUACCCUUCGACCAAACUCAAAAAGGACUCUAUACCACAAGUAAAAUGAGUAUAUUUUUGGGACCAAAAUCGAAAAAAAAUCAGCUAUAGUUAGGGACCAAAAUGGUAUUUGGUAAAGAUAAUCCCGUUCCAGAAAGUGUUGAUGUUACCUUGACUGAUUCUGAUAAUGAAGAUGGAGUUCUAGGCGUUUCAGAAAGUGUUGAAGCUCCUCAAAAUGUUCAGGCUUCCAAGGUUGAUAAGCCCCUGUUGCAGGAAGUGGACAUAGUUGGUGUAUCAGGGAGUAAAAACGCAGGGGGUUCAAAGAAAUGGGUGUGUAAGCACUGCCAUCAAAUGUUUACCAACUCUUAUACUAGAAUUUAUGUACACUUUUUUGGUGCUGCAAUCGGGAAAGCACCAGAAAUCAAUAGGUGUCCUGCUAUACUCAAGGAUCGGGUUAAAUAUCAAAGCUUGUUAAACAGAGUAAAUGUUGCUGAAUCAAAAGGUAUUUCUAAGUCUUUGAAGAACUCUGUAAUUAAUAAUAAACAAAGUUCUACUUCUAAAUCUAGAAAACCGCUCGAAGAUUCUUUUGGUAUGAUGGAAAGAAACACAGUUGAUAUGAAGAUUAUGAGAGCAUUAUGUACUAAUGGCAUUUCUUUCAAUGUUCUACGUAAUCCUCAAUUUCAAGAGAUGAUAACAGUCAUAAACAGGGCAUCUGCUGGUUAUAAGGCUCCUUCAUACGAUAAAGCUCGAACCGUUUUGCUUGAUGAGUGUGUGAGAGAUGUGGAAAAGGGGAUGACUUCAGUGAAGGAUACAUGGUAUACACAGGGGGUUUCUAUUGUGUCGGAUGGCUGGUCCAAUGUUAAACAUCGUGUAACACCGUAAAAAUUAAGACAAUUUUUCACUUUUUAAAACCAAAGUCAUUCAUAAUCAUUUUCAAGAAAACAUUGUAGCAACAUUAUCUCAUUACAAAUCCCAAGAUCAAAUCAUAAUAAACUCCACGGGUAUGGGUGUGUGUACAGAUCAUGCCGGUGCUUUCCCGCGAUCAUCGUUGGUACCUGAGACACAUAACAAAAACACUGUAAGCAUAAAUGCUUAGUGAGUUCCCCAAAAUACCACAUAAACACAUAUCAGCCACUCAAGGCUGUAACUCUGUUGACCUUCUGGUCGAAUAUCUAUGUGGGACCCUCUUGGUCCCAUAACUCUGUGAACCCACUGGUCCUAACUCUGUAACUCUGGAUCAUGCAUAUCACAUAUCACAAUAAAUCACAACACAUAAUAACAUGCAAAUACACUGGCAUAUAACUCUAAAAUACUCUGUCACAUAACUCUGUUACCACACUAGGUAAAGUAUAGUGAGAAGACUCACCUCAGAUGUCUCGGUAAAUCUCUGACUCGGUAGAAAUAUGAUCUAGCCUCCGCUUAAUCACAUAAAGUAAAUACUCUCAUAAAUAUAACUAUACUCAACCCUCUCUUAGCACCCUCAGAAGGGUAAAAGACCAUUUUACCCCUCUUUUGGCUUAAAGGCCACAUUGUUGACCAAACCCUAAAAGUCAACAAAAGUCAACGGUCAAACUUUGACUCGACUCGUCGAGUGCACUUGGGCGACUCGGCGAGUCUACACGUGUCCACUAAUUCUUUAGUCUCGCUUGGCACGUUGAGUUCCUCCCCUUGCUCGACGAGUCACACCUGGCAUGAAUCGCGAGGCCACCCCGACUCAACUCGUUGAGUCUCAAGAACAACUCGGCGAGUUCCGCCUUGAACUCCAGUGCUCUAAUCCCCUCUGACUCACUAAGUUAUUUCCCCAACUCGGCAAGUCUACUCACUGAGUGAUUUACAGGAAACCCUAACCCUACUCGCCGAGUCUGAUCUUUGGACUCGACGAGUUCAUUCCAUGCACAAACUCCAUUGACCUCUUAAGGUCAGAUCUGUUCCUUAAAUCCAUAGAUAUGACCUUCCCAAGCAUGAUAAUCACGUAAAGUUCAGACCUUGACACUCAUAUAGCAUCUAGAUGGUCUCACUUGGUGAUUUAGCCCCAAAAAUAAACUCCUAAGUUCAUGGCUCCCAAAAUAACCCAUAAAGCUCCAAGGGUUAAGGACUCUGGACCUCUUUGACUCCAGAUCCAAAGCAUAAACUCGAGAAGGGACCAAUUGCUCCACAUAUCCAUUCUCUAAAGGGGUUAGAAAACCCUAACUCUAAGAAUCAACACCAAAUCUGAAGAAGGUCCGAAUAAAUACCUUAAGAUGAAGUCUCUGAACUCUGAAAUCACCAUAAUCUCUCCUCCUUUAGCCUCCUCUUGCCUUGGUCACCUCCUUCUUCCAAUCACACCAACAAAAUGAUCAAAAGUGGCCUCUCCUUCCUCACAAACGCUCUAGAUCUCUUAGGGUUUCUCUCUGGGGUUUGGUAGCCGCAAAUGACGACCCUAAGGGACUUUAAAUAGGUCCCAAACCCAGAAAAUUAGGGUUUCAUUAAACAGCGUGGACUCGCCGAGUCCACUUAUGAACUCGCCGAGUCCAGCUGUGAACCCGGAUAAGAAUCCGCGACCAUACUCGGCGAGUCUAAGCACCAACUCGCCAAGUCCCCUCCCAACCUUCAAAAAUAAAGGGAUAAAAUAAUAUGUCUGGGAAUUCGGAUGUUACACAUCGACCAUUAAUCAAUGUUAUUGCUACCAAUAGCCGUGGAGCCAUGUUUAUGUAUGCAGAGGACUUUUCUGGUGUAGAGAAAACAGGGGCAACAAUUGCAAACUUCUUGCUUGAAGCCAUAUAAACCGUAGGACCAAGGAAUGUUCUACAAGUUGUUACCGACAAUGCAACAAACUGUAAGGCUGCUGGAAAGGAGGUGGAGAAGGUACAUAAACAAAUUUUCUGGUCUCCUUGUUGUGUCCAUACUUUGAAUUUAAUUUUUAAAGAUCUUGCAGUCGAUUGUUUUUGGCUAAUGGACACAUAUAGGAAAGGGAAAAUAGUUGUUAACUAUUUUCUUAAUCACACCCAUGCAUUGGCUAUUUUUAGAGAUAAUUUACAAUUGGAAUUAUUAAAAGUAGCCAAAACAAGAUUUGCAUCUCAUUAUAUUUUGCUGAAAAGGUUAUGGGAUUGUAGAGAGUCUCUUGCUACUACAAUUGUCCUUAAUUCAUGGAGAGAAUGGCAAAAAAUAUUGAUGAAAACACUAGGCAAAGUGGAUUAUUAGUUGCUGAUACAAUUAAAAAUGAAGACUUUUGGGAUGAUGUGGAAAGUGUCCUUGCUGUUACAAAACCAAUAUACUUGAUGGUUAAAUUUUGUGAUGGUAAGGGAUCAAUGAUGGGAGAAAUUUACGAGAAAAUGGAUAACAUGCUAGGAGAGAUUAAGGAUGUCAUGAUGAAUCAUUGUUAUGCUGAGUAUUACCCCCGAGUGGAGAAGAUUAUACUAGCAAGGUGGGAGAAGAUGACAAUCCCUUUGCAUUGUUUAGGAUUUGCAUUAUCUCCAAGAUUUUAUGAUAAAAAUUAUCUUGAGGAGAUGGCGGCACCAGGUGGAGUUCAUAGGAAAGCUCCAAAUCUUGAUAAGGAGGUUAUGGUUGGUGUAAUGGAAUCUUUUAAGAGGAUCGCGGAAAGUGGAGAAGAGGAGCAUCUUCUACGUGAGCAAUUCCCUACUUUUCACAUGAAAAAAGGCCUUUAUGCAUUGGUGGCAGCUUACAUGGAUGCGGUGACCAUGGAUGCUAUUGAUUGGUGGUCAAGUUACGGGUCAGAAACGCCCAAACUUGCUGUUAUAGCAAAGAAAGUUUUAUCACAGCCUAUUAGUAGUUCAUCAGCCGAGAGAAACUGGAGUACGUACUCUUACAUACAUAAUGUCAAGAGAAACCGAUUGAACUCCAAAAGGGCUGAUAAAUUGGUGUUUAUACAUUCAAAUAUUCGUCUCCAAUCAAGAUUCUCCGAAAGUUACGCAUCUGGGGCACACAAGAAGUGGGAUGUAAAUCCCGAAAGCACUAACUUGGAACAGUCAAGUACACGACUUUGAAGAAAUGAAGUGGGAAAAUCUAGAAGAUGUUGAGAGAGUAGCUGAUGAUGGGAAUGAAAAAAGGCAAAGGAAAGAGUAAACUUAGGGAUCUUUUGGUAUUGAAGUUACUUUGUUUUGAAUGUUGAAGUUAUUUUAGCUUUAUUUGGUAUUGAUCUUUUGGUAUUGAAGUUAUUUUGUUACUUUUGUAUUAAACUUUUGAAGUAUGAAUUGAAGUAUUGAUCUUUUGGUAUUUAGUAUACUUUUUAUAUUUAUAGUAUUAUAUAUUUUAGCAAUAUAUGUACAUCGUACUAUAUUAUGUGGUACACCGUUCCACGUACCAAAAUAGCGUUCCGGAGAAGACUACCCCCCCUCGUACCGAAUUUUAUAGAUUACCGAUCCUCGGUCCCGUUUUCGUUCCACGUACCGGAACGAUCCCGUUUCCGUGUAAUUAUGGGUCAGACAAACUAAUUUGAUAAUUAUCUAGAUAUAUAAGAGUUAUUUACAGUUUUGGUCCCUGGGUAUAGCUGGUUUUUUUCAAAUUUGGUCCCAAAAGUUCUCUUGUAAUUUUUGUCCCUAUUUGACGUUUUUGGUAAUUUACCAAGUAAAAUUAUCAUAUUUUAUAUGACCAAAAUUGCAAAAAUCAGCUAUACCCAGAGGACAAAAAUGUUGCAAGAACCUCAAAUAAGGACUAAAUUACUAAUAGAACUUUUUGGGACCAAAAAUUUAAUUUACUAUAAAAUUAAUAAUCAUAGAGUAGAUUAUAUUUUUGGUCCUUUAGUAUAGCUUAUUUUCUGCAAUUUUGGUCCUUAGUUUAUGUUUUUGUAAUGUUUUUGGUCUGUGUCAUAAUUAAAAUGAAUCUUUUGGUCCCUAACUAUAGCUGAUUUUUUUUCGAUUUUGGUCCCAAAAAUAUACUCAUUUUACUUGGAAUAGGGACCAACAACAUUACAAAAACCUCCAAUAAGCACCAAACGACAAAAGAGAAAACCUUUUGGGACAAACAUUGCCAAAACUAGUUAUGUUCAUGGGCCAAAAUGUAAUUUACUCUAAUAGAAUAAUGUAAUUUUUUUUCUUCAGGCUGGUGUUAAGAUAGAUGAUCCAGUUUUAAAGGUGUUUAAUGGCCAAGAGGUGGAGGUUUGGUCACGUGUUGUGUGGAAGCCAAAAUGGGCUGUUACAUUUUCUGAUGUUAAAAGGAAAGUCAAAGGAAACAACAACUCUGUUUCAUAAUGCUCUUAUUGAAAAUUUGUCACUGGACGGAACCCUAGUUAUCGAUUCAGUUAAUGACGCCUGAUGUAUGUUAGAAAUAGAAACAUGCUUUCAUUUCUUCCUAUUACAUCAUUGUAGUUUAAAGUACAUUGCUACUACUAGAAAACAUGGGGUUUUCCUACGGAAAAUAGCUACGGAAAAUUUCCGUAGCUAAUUAGUUACAGAAUUGCUACGGAUUAGCUACAGAAUGGGAUGCCCUAAUUUAGUAACGGAAUAGCUACGGAAUAACUACGGAUGCUAUUCCGUAGCUAAUUAGCUACAGAAUAGCUAGAGAUGCUAAUCCGUAGCUAUUCCGUAGCUAAUUAGCUACGGAAUGGCUACGGGAUACCUACAGAUACUAUUUACCUACGGAUUAGCUACGGAGUAUGCUUUCCGUUAGAAUUCCGUAGCUAAUCCGUAGCUAAGUAGCUACGGAUUAGCUACGGAUUUUUCUUAUUUUUUGAUUUUUCGGGCACCAAACGUCGUUUUUUCGCUUCGUUUUUUUCACACCUCUACUAUAGAUGAUUAUCNNNNNNNNNNNNNNNNNNNNNNNNNNNNNNNNNNNNNNNNNNNNNNNNNNNNNNNNNNNNNNNNNNNNNNNNNNNNNNNNNNNNNNNNNNNNNNNNNNNNACUACCAUUAUCAUCACCACCAUCACCAUCACCACCACCGCCAUCAUCACACAACCAUCAUCAUUAUUAUCACCAUCAUCACCAUCACCAUCACCAUCACCAUUACCACNAUCAUCAUCAUCAUCAUCACCAUCACCACCACAACCACCACCACCAUUAUCACCGUCAUCACCAUCACUAUCACCAUUAUCACCAUCACCAUCACUAUCACCAUCACCAUCACCAUCACCAUCACCAUCACCCUCACCAUCACCAUCACCAUCACCACCAUCACCAUCACCAUCACCACCACUACCACCACCAUCACCAUCACCAUCAUACUAUCAAUACUGAUCGUCAUCAUCAUCAUCAUCAUCCUCAUCGUCAUCAUUUAUGCAUCAAUUUGUUGUUGCUUAUGUUUUGUUUUAAGUUUAAUCAGGAUUACACUUAAAUUGAGGAGGUUUGUUGGUGAUUUUAUAUCAUCAAUAUUAUUUAAGUGUAAUAUGAUUAAAAUUGUUGACCAAAAAUGAUCUUGUUUAAUAUUAAACAAGUUAGGAUGGUGUAGGAAUGCACAUAUGUUCAUGUUUUUCAAUAUUCAAAGUACAUUGUUAUUCAGGGGAGAAGCCCCUAAAUGAAUGGGGGUCCGCAGGCAGCGCCCCUGGGAGCGGGGUCCCAGGGGCUGUAGCCCCUGGCUGGGAUUGAAAUCGCUCAGCGCGAAAUUUUUUUUAUUUGGACUAUGUUGCUAUAUUAAAAAAUGCAUCAAAAAUCCAAUUUUAGAAAGUUGACACUUUUUAGAAAGUUAACUGUUCGGGUCCACCUCCAUGUAUCGACUCCUACACUUUCCUUCAUAUCGACUCCUCGCUUAUGUCUUCCCACCUUUUGUCUUCUGUGAACGCCAACCCCCUCGUUGCUCGUCCCUUCUCCGGCGCAUUCACCCAUUUUCCGACGUUCCUUCCCUCUCCGGCAGCAUAGCUCAUCCGUCAUUACCCCUCUUUGCUCGAUUUCUUCUCCCACAAAGGUAAAACCUAGUUUUUUUUUAAUUUGAAGAAUGUAAUGGCACAUUCACCCCACAUCGCAGCACACCCUCUGACCUCCCAUCUUCGGCGUGCCCGUUCGUCAUCAUCUCCGGCUGUCGUUGGUGAUGGCUAAUAGCGAUUUCGGUGUUGUGGAGGCUGGAAAAACACGAAGAAACAGCCCAAUCGUUAUGAUUUUCAGCUUGUGAACACAAGAUGUGAAGGUAAUUUCUAUAAACCUAAGUUAACGUCGGUUUCGUUUGGAAUUGUUGAUUUCAUGUUGAAAUUGGUUGAUAAAUCCUAAAAUUGCUUAUGGAUGGAAGCUUUUGAGGACAUUAGAAACCUCAAUGCAUGAAUCGAUUCUAGUUUGUAUAAAGUAGAUUGUCAAAAUUUGUAUAAGAUGACUAAUUUCAAAGGUGUUUGACAACCUAAGCAUUGGUUCUUCUUAAAAACAGGUUGGCAUGAAAGAUUCAUGAAAUUUCACUCUAAAAGAAAACACAUUCAGGCAAGUAGGAUGCCUGAACGAGAAAAUUGUCAAAAGGGAUCACAUGUAUUGCUUUUGGGGGAACCUUAAUUUUGACAGAAGAGGAGCUACAAUGGCUCUUGGUUUAGAUAAUAGCACAUUACCAGGUCCAUUAAUUUCUUUAUGUGUAUUCAAGUCUUUAUUAAUUCUAGUUUUUGUAAAGUAAAUAUUUAUAAAUCUGAAUGUUUCUUUAUUAGGCAUAGAUGAUUAGAUGGAUUGAAAUGGUGUUUUUUUUAUCAUUUAACAUUAGUAAAAAUGGUUUGUUAAUAAGAUGCAAUUUUUCACUAUUAUAACACUAGGAAAAAUGGUUUGUUUGUUAGAUGAUAUUUUGUAUCUGUUAGCAUUCAUGUGUUAAAAUUAGUUUGAAUGGAAUGAAUAUUAGUUACCAUGAUAAAUAAUUCCCACAGUAUUAUUAACAUCGCUUGCAUAAUAUGAUUUCUUUUAUAUGCUAAAAGAAAGUUAUAACUAACUUAUUGUAACUAAAUAACAGUUGCACAUUCUUUCAAUUAGUAAUUGAUACUUGUUUUUACAUUUUUCAGGCAAGCUUGCAUGUUGUUAGUUUGAUACUUCCUUUGCCAAGUAAUCGAUCAAAAAAAUUUCAAUUUUAUUUUGUAAGCACUUAUUUAAACAUUUGUAGUUGACACUUAUUAUGUGUAUCAUUAGACAAUGUUAAUUAGUAAUAUGUAUUUGUAUUUGAUACUUUUUUAGGUUUAUUAGUUUUAUUAUAAUGAUAUUUGUUUUGUAGUUGAAUUUCAAUAUUAUUUUAAGUUUAAUGUAAUGGGUUUUUUCAAUAUUUUGGAGAGAAAAAAACUGGAUUUUUUUAUAAUUUUUUAUUGUUUUUUUUUUAAAAUAAAAAGUAAUUAGCUACGGAUUACCUACAAAAAAUCCGUAGCUAUUUACUUCCGUAGCUAUCCACUUCCGUAGUUAUUCCGUAGCUACUAACUUUCGUAGCUAUUCAAUUCCGUAGCUAUUGAGUAGGAAAUCCGUAGCUAUUUAUUUCCGUAGCUAUUCUGUAGCUAUGGUAGCUACGGCAAAUUCCGUAGCUACUCCGUAGCUAUUUCGUAGCUAAUCCGUAGCUAUAAUUUUCCCACAGGCCAUUAUGCUACAGGCAUUUUUCCGUAGCAAUUCCGUAGCUAUCCGCUUAUAGCUACAGAAUAGCUACGGAUUGUGCUGUAGCUAUUGCAUCAGUUUUCUAGUAGUGUGCCUGAAUAAGAAACAUUGAAACUAUGAUGUUAUAAUUGUAGUUUAGCCUAACACCAUAUUUUUGUUUUUUGUCAGGUGAAAGUGGGAUGAGCAGUGCAAAAUAAAGGUUGGGGAAUUGAAAGUGUUGAUAAAGAGAAUAGUGGAUUGCCAGAGGAAGUGAGGAUUAGGAGUUUUAAAAUAAACAAAAUGGAGCACUUGGAAAAAUGCUACAGUGAAUCAGGGAAGCACUGAUUGAAGCCUUGAGGCAAAAAUCUUUGCACAUUUUAUAUCCAUAUCAACUUAGGUUAUGUUUGGCACACCACAACUAGCUUAUUUUUUUAUUUAAUGUAUGUGGGGCAUCCCUGUGGCAUUGAUAUGGUGUCGAUGUUGACCUUUUUUUUAUUUAAUCCUAGUUUUAUUUGAUUUUAAAUUAAUAUAAAAUAAUUAACAUUUAUAUUAUAUUUUAAUAAAACACUUAAAAUUGAAAUUACUCUUGAAAAAGAAUAGAGAACCAUUGCCUUCACCAACUUCAUAUUCAUGAUUUCAUCACCCCAAAGUACUUCGUCUUCUUCACAAAACAUUCGUUUCAGAUUUGAUUUUUGUUCUUUUUUAUUUAUUUAUUUAGGGAUGAAGAUGAAGGUAACCGCAGGUGGUGGGAUAGAUAUGAAGACCACAAUGAUGACAAGUUAAUGAAGAUGGUAUGAUGGUAUUAUGGUUGCUGUUGUUUGUUCGAUUUUAAUUUCCCUCCCAUCAACUCUAAAAUUGCAAAAUAAUAAUAAUAAUAAUAAUAAUAAUAAUAAUAAUAAACAAACAAACAAAGAAAGAAAAAACGAAAAAAAAAAAAAAACAAACAAACUAACUAACUAACUAAACCCUAAUACAGGUUUCUUGCAUUUGAUGAGGGAAGGUUUCAUAUCCAAAAUUUUGUAUAUGCAUUCAAACAUUGAGUUUUCAAUGUUUCAUAUAUUUGGAUUAUCCUUUUUUAUUUUUGGUUUUUGAAAAGUUUUCUUCAUGAUUUUGUAAUCGUUCGGAUAUUUGGAUUAAACAAUUGGACAGACUUUAUAGAUGUAUAUUUCUAGCAGUUUUAUAUAUAUGUUUUGAGUAUAAAAUGGAUAUUUCAAAUCCGAUGGCUUCUAAUCCCAUAUAUGAAGUGAGAUCUCAAGCAAAUAAAUCUAUACACGGUUGAUUUAUAUUAAAAAGAGUCAUCUAUGUUUUUUUUUUCUUCAAGUUACAUUAUUCUGUAUUAUGUCCAAAUUUUCGGAAAAGUUUGAAAAUUUCAUAUACAAAUUUGGAUAUCAAAAUCUGUUAUCCUAAUUAUCCUAAAUUUUCAGAUAUGUAGCUUUAAACCCCCAUAGAAACAACAACAUAAGGGUUUUAGUGGGGAAGUGUUGAGGUAGACUGAUUAUUUUGAGCCGAUGUCAAACUUCAAAGAGUCAUGGAUAUUUUAUGACAUGUGCAAUUUCAAACGGUAUCUAUUAUUACCUUUUAAUCUCAAACUUUACUUUCUGAAAAACUUGUUCAUCUAUAGUCAUCCAGGGGCCAUGUGCUGUAGAUACAAUAGAGAACUCAAUAAUAGAAAUGAUAAUNNNNNNNNNNNNNNGGUUAAUUUUUGGUUGCUCGUUUAUUUUGGAAUAGUGAUGCAAAAAACUGAUGCUAAUCGUGUUUUCCACUGCAAAAUGUAAUGGAAGUGCAAUUACUACCAAAGUAAGAUAUCUAAUGGAUUUACUGGUACACCAUUACUAAACAGGUUCAAACAAAAUUGAUUUGUAUCAAACUAUUUUUUUCCACAAUGGUCCGGUUUGGUUUCCAAUUUUUUUAGUGUACCUCUAAUUUUCAUUGUGUUUUUUUAUGCUACGAAUGUAUGAUUUUUUUAGGAUAACUUAUUUCAUACAAAACAGGGAAAAUGGCCACCCAUGGUGUUGGUGGCAAAUAUAUUGAUAUGGGGGAUUUAAAAACCACAACCAAAUUACAUUACAUUACAUAUUAGAAAAUAAGAAAUCAAAAAUAAAAAAUUAAACGACAAACUACUCCUAUCUACUCUUUUGGAAACUUGAAACGAACACAACCACCUUGACAUAAACCCAAUCUUUGAAGCUGUCAUAAAAUUGAAAAAAUGCACGUCUCCCUUGGCGGUUGAGAAGUAAAGCCCCACAUGCUAUCCAAAAUCCAGUAGCAAAACCCAUUCCCACACCAAUACAAAACCAUCCCCAGAGUUCAUCAUCAUCUGUGUCUUCCCCAUCACCCUCACCUUUACCAAUCAGAGGUGGUACUUCUGGUUCUUCAUCUCCAGGACAUUUUUUGGUAAGGGGAAGUCCGCAUAGUCUUUUGUUUCCAUUGUAUCUUGAAGGUUCAAAGGAUUGGAGCUGAGUGCUCGUUGGGAUUCUCCCUGACAAGUUAUUAAAUGACAAGUCUAGGUAAUUCAGUAAGCUCAUCUGAGACAUGCUUGAUGGCAUCCUCCCUGAUAAAUUGUUUCUGGAUAAAUCCAAAGUUAGAAGCUUUUUCAUCUCACCAAUAUGCUGUGGAAUCUCUCCAGAUAGAGCAUUCUUUGAAAAAUUCAGGGCAAUCAAGUCUGAAAGAUUGGUAAUUUCAUUUGGGAUUUGUCCUGUUAGAUUGUUGCUGGACAGGUCAAUGCUCUUCACCAAUUUCAGAGUUCUACUAAAUUCACGUUCAUCUCCUUGCCACUCAAUCAUUGCAUGGUCAACAUAUGUACCACGUUUAUAUAUAAUAUUAAGACCUCCUAAAGUUAUAAAAUACUGUGUAUCUUGUGGGAAUCCUCCUUGGUGAAGCAUGCUCGUAAGAUUACUCAAACAUGAGGGGAUGCUUCCAUGGAGAUUGUUCAUUGACAAGUCCAAAACUUGAAGAUUAGGUAACUGACAUAACUGUAAAGGGAUGGUUCCAAAGAAGUUGUUUGAUCUUAGGAUAAGAACAUACAGCCCUGAUAGGUUUUCUCCUAUCCAAACAGGCACAUCACCAGAAAACUUGUUGGCCCCCAAAUUCAAUGAGAUUAAACCCGUGCAAUUUUUUAAGGACAAAGGCAAUUCUCCGGAGAAGUUGUUAUCGUAUACAUACAACACCUGGAGUUGUAUCAAAGAUCCAAUAGAGGGAGGAAGCCUUCCAAAGAGAUUGUUGUGUCCGAGAUUAAGAACUCUUAGGUAUUUAAAAUGCCACAAACAGUCCGGGAGUUGUCCGGUUAAUGAGUUAUGAGAGAGGUCAAGAAAUUCUAAGAACCCAUCAACAAUUUGGCAUAUAAAGGCGAUCCCUCCAGAGAAUUUGUUUCUGGAAAGAUUUAAU
Molecule: long non-coding RNA, 26564 nt
Filed under: Lactuca sativa (garden lettuce)
Lineage: Eukaryota; Viridiplantae; Streptophyta; Magnoliopsida; Asterales; Asteraceae
Description: long non-coding RNA (LSAT_LNC006422)
Source: RNAcentral